RNAcentral lists this long non-coding RNA (1195 nucleotides) under Oryctolagus cuniculus (rabbit). RNAcentral's name for it is "lncRNA (ENSOCUG00000037030.1)". Lineage: Eukaryota; Metazoa; Chordata; Mammalia; Lagomorpha; Leporidae. The record is from RNAcentral.
AUGUCUCUCCCUACCCCCCUCACUCCCCAGAGCCCUGAGGAUGAUGACAGGAAGGUGCGAAGGAGAGAAAAAAACCGAGUUGCUGCUCAGAGAAGUCGGAAGAAGCAGACCCAGAAGGCUGACAAACUCCACGAGCAACACCCAACCGUACGAAUCCAGCUGGGAAUAAAGAACCACAUCAGGAAAUUUACAUAAGAUGACCAGCCUGGCGGGAGACUCGGCUGGCAGGCUGGCAGGCUCAGCAGUUGGCUAUGCGUUAUAGAACUCAGUAAUGACUGAGGGAUGAAGAAAAGGAAGGCCUGCUCAUCAAGUGAGUGGAUGGCUUAAAGCUGUGUGAGAUCACACAUCCAUGGCAUGAUACAAUGGAAAUUUUAAAAGAUUUGGUUGUCCAGAAAAUACCCAAAGGAACGGAGUGAAAUGCAGUGGAGACAGAUGGCAAGCUCCGUACUUGAGCUCCAAAGCAUCCAUCACUGUCCAAGGAUAGACAGAGAUGCAGCAGGUGCAGAUGAAGCUUGCACGUCUGUGUAAAAGCAGGGAGAAUCCCCAGUGACUUGGGACCAGCACGAGGGAGGCCACCGCCACACAUUUGCCCUCUGCACGGUUGCCAGAUGAUGCACUGCAUUCUGGGAGUAACAUUUUCUCAGAGAUUCUUGCAGUGUGGAGCAUCAGGGAGGGUCUCUGCUGGCACAGAGGUACGAGAAGUCCUAACACAAGGAACUCAGGACCUGCGACGCUGAGCUCAGAGAAUACCUAAGGGGAAGUGGUAUGGGGCUGUCUCCUAACAUUUCAAGAAUGACGAUAUGAGAAGAAGUGUUGGGUUUACUCCAUGGCAGGGGUGGAGAACCUUUUUUAUGCAAGGGCCAUUUGCAGUCAAAUGCUGUACCGCUGAGCUAUACCCCCACUGCGAUGCAAGGGCCAUUUGGAUAUUUAUAACAUCACUCAUGGCCCUACAGAAUUAUUAACUUUAAAGUUAGCUGGUUAUAGAUUUCUUGAAUUUUGAGUCCUGCCUGAGGCCGCCUUGGCAGGAGCAGACCAGAUGGUUUGCUGGGCCUUGCAUGGCCUACAGGCUGGGUGGUUCCCACCCCUGCAUGGGGUUCCACUAGGCAGAACCAAGCUCAACAGGUGGGUUUGCAAGAGAGAUGAUUUGGGGUCUGUACAAAGAAGAGCUUUCUAACACAGCAGCUCAGAAAUGACU